AGUGAACGCUGGCGGCGUGCUUAACACAUGCAAGUCGAACGAGAACGGAUCUAGCUUGCUAGAUUGUCAGCUAAGUGGCGCACGGGUGAGUAAUAUAUAGAUAACAUGCCUUAGAGAAGGGGAUAACAUUUGGAAACGAAUGCUAACACCCUAUAUGCCUUUAAUACAGAAGUAUGCAAGGGAAAUAUUUAUAGCUCUAAGAUUGGUCUGUACGGUAUCAGAUAGUUGGUGAGGUAAUGGCUCACCAAGUCAAUGACGCCUAACUGGUUUGAGAGGAUGAUCAGUCACACUGGAACUGAGACACGGUCCAGACUCCUACGGGAGGCAGCAGUGGGGAAUAUUGCACAAUGGGGGAAACCCUGAUGCAGCAACGCCGCGUGGAGGAUGACACAUUUCGGUGCGUAAACUCCUUUUAUAUCUGAAGAUAAUGACGGUAGGAUAUGAAUAAGCUCCGGCUAACUCCG
Molecule: ribosomal RNA, 464 nt
Filed under: uncultured Arcobacter sp.
Lineage: Bacteria; Pseudomonadati; Campylobacterota; Epsilonproteobacteria; Campylobacterales; Arcobacteraceae
Description: bacterial SSU rRNA
Rfam family: Bacterial small subunit ribosomal RNA
Source: RNAcentral